GGACGGGUGAGUAACGCGUGGGUAACCGGCCCCAAAGUCCGGGAUAACAGCGGGAAACCGCUGCUAAUACCGGAUGCCUUUACCUUGGGGCAUCUUGAGGUAAAGAAAGGUAACGCUUUGGGAUGGGCCCGCGUCCCAUUAGCUAGUUGGUGAGGUAACGGCUCACCAAGGCGACGAUGGGUAGCCGGCCUGAGAGGGUGGACGGCCACACUGGGACUGAGACACGGCCCAGACUCCUACGGGAGGCAGCAGUAGGGAAUAUUGCGCAAUGGACGGAAGUCUGACGCAGCGACGCCGCGUGAGCGAUGAAGGUCUUCGGAUCGUAAAGCUCUGUCCUUGGGGAAGAAGGCGAAAGCUUGACGGUACCCAAGAAGAAAGCCCCGGCUAACUACGUGCCAGCAGCCGCGGUAAUACGUAGGGGGCGAGCGUUGUCCGGAAUUACUGGGCGUAAAG
This 453-nucleotide ribosomal RNA is filed under the name uncultured bacterium. RNAcentral describes it as "bacterial SSU rRNA". It matches the Rfam family "Bacterial small subunit ribosomal RNA", at positions 100 to 565 of the family's 1533-position model. The record is from RNAcentral.